UUAGUGGAGUGGCUUGUCGCUCGAUGGUUUCCAUCGAGAGGAAAGUCUGGGCAACAUAGAGCAUCACAUUUCUUAACGGGAAGCUAUGGGUGACUGUAGGGUUAAGGUGACAGAAAAUAACCGCCAGCCUCGGUUGGUAAGGGUGAAAAGGUGAGGUAAGAGCUCACCGGGCGUUAUGGUAACUUAGCGUGCCGCACUACCUGUGAGUUGCAAGGUCAAGUAUAUCGGCAUUUAAGGGUUGCUCGCCCAUUGUCG
Molecule: RNase P RNA, 255 nt
Filed under: Candidatus Sodaliphilus fimicaballi
Lineage: Bacteria; Pseudomonadati; Bacteroidota; Bacteroidia; Bacteroidales; Muribaculaceae
Description: partial RNase P RNA component class A
Rfam family: Bacterial RNase P class A
About the family: Ribonuclease P (RNase P) is a ubiquitous endoribonuclease, found in archaea, bacteria and eukarya as well as chloroplasts and mitochondria. Its best characterised activity is the generation of mature 5'-ends of tRNAs by cleaving the 5'-leader elements of precursor-tRNAs. Cellular RNase Ps are ribonucleoproteins.
Source: RNAcentral